RNAcentral lists this ribosomal RNA (483 nucleotides) under uncultured bacterium. RNAcentral describes it as "bacterial SSU rRNA". It matches the Rfam family "Bacterial small subunit ribosomal RNA", at positions 30 to 507 of the family's 1533-position model. The record is from RNAcentral.
AUUGAACGCUGGCGGCAUGCCUUACACAUGCAAGUCGAACGGCAGCGGACCUUCGGGUGCCGGCGAGUGGCGAACGGGUGAGUAAUAUAUCGGAACGUACCUUUCAGUGGGGAUAACGUAGCGAAAGUUACGCUAAUACCGCAUAUUCUGUGAGCAGGAAAGCAGGGGAUCGCAAGACCUUGCGCUGAUUGAGCGGCCGAUAUCAGAUUAGCUAGUUGGUGAGGUAAAGGCUCACCAAGGCGACGAUCUGUANCGGGUCUGAGAGGAUGAUCCGCCACACUGGAACUGAGACACGGUCCAGACUCCUACGGGAGGCAGCAGUGGGGAAUUUUGGACCAAUGGGCGCAAGCCUGAUCCAGCCAUGCCGCGUGAGUGAAGAAGGCCUUCGGGUUGUAAAGCUCUUUCGGCCGGGAAGAAAUCGCACAGGGUUAAUACCCUGUGUGGAUGACGGUACCGGAAUAAGAAGCACCGGCUAACUACGUG